AUUCAGUAAUCACUCAAGAAAACCAUACUUUGACAGAAGAGGAAACUACUAUACAAUCAAAAAAAUGAGUAAGCACACCAACUUCAGGCACCACAAGAUGGGUGGUCAGGAUGCAGAAGGGCUGAAGAACUUCUGGGAAAAGGUCAUCCAAGAGCAAACCAAGCAACAAGAAGCCGAAGAGUCCAGGUUAAGCAAAAGUGCCCUGAACAAGCUCCGCCAGGAAUGGGCUCUGCGGCUGGAGAGGAGAGCGCGGCAGGUCCAGGCACACACGAAAACACGGGGGGAACAAGGGACGCCUCUGUCCAUCGAGGCUCUGCCCUCACCAGACAAAACUGUCGCUUAAAUUAAGCAAGAAUUGGGCCCGACUCUGGCCUUCUGCACACACCUAUAACCCAGCAGUCACGCUGCCCAGCAAGCAAAAGAUCAGAAUCUGGCCCUUUUCCAGACUGUUUCUUACAGCUACUGUUUAAGUCCUGCUGAAAUUCAGUGCCACAGUACAAAAUCUAAAAAAAAAAAAAAAAAAAAAAAGGAAAAGGCAUAGAUGAGAAGCAGACAACUCCAAUUCUCCACAAUGUGUUAUUACUGUGAUGCAUCAGGAACUCAGGACUCUCUUAUGUAACUGUGUUUCCAAGUGACAACAACAUAUUGCCAGGAAAGAGGGCAAUAAAAAUAAUACAAAGCCUUUUUAAUAGGGAUAA
This 698-nucleotide long non-coding RNA is filed under the name Manacus vitellinus (golden-collared manakin). RNAcentral's name for it is "lncRNA (ENSMVIG00005017126.1)". The record is from RNAcentral. Lineage: Eukaryota; Metazoa; Chordata; Aves; Passeriformes; Pipridae.